AGGUUGCAUUGUAUUGUUCUCAAGAAAUUGUCGCAAAUUUGUCGUUUUAAUUGCUUGUGUGGGCCUUAAAGUCAUUCAUAUCGAAGGAUAGACCUCUUAAGAUGGACAAAAAAGGAUAAGACCUGCCCCUGGACAAGAAAGAAAAAAUGGAAAAAGAGGUGUAUUCUAGCAAAGAUGAGGAUGAUAGUGAUACUGAUAGCGAGGGAACUUUUGUGUUCGAAAAGAUUGAGGGGGACAGAACACAAAAGGCCCGCAAUGAUGAAAUUGACGAGAAGAUACC
Dendronephthya gigantea is the source of this 280-nucleotide long non-coding RNA. RefSeq lists it as uncharacterized. NCBI's taxonomy places the organism in Eukaryota, Metazoa, Cnidaria, Anthozoa, Malacalcyonacea, Nephtheidae. The record is from RefSeq and is a predicted model, not a curated record. The transcript is spliced from 3 exons.